Molecule: ribosomal RNA, 1369 nt
Filed under: metagenome
Description: SSU rRNA
Rfam family: Eukaryotic small subunit ribosomal RNA
Source: RNAcentral
UAACUGGGCGCCUCGGCCUGAAGCCUUGCGGUGUGUCGGGUAACACCGGCAUACUGCUUAGCGGUCGGACAUAACCGCCGGAGUGUACGGCCCGUCGUGCCGGCUUUAACCGGUCGGUACGGCGGACGGACACAAUCAAAUCGGCCGGGGUGCUCUUAACCGAGUGUCUCGGUCGGCCGGCAAACGUUUACUUUGAACAAAUUAGAGUGCUCAAAGCAGGCUGAUCUUAGCCCUGAAUAUCGCAGCAUGGAAUGAUGGAAUAGGACCUCGGUCUUAUUUUGCUGGUCUUUUUCUCAUAGACCCGAGGUAAUGGUCAAUAGAGACGGACGGGGGCAUCCGUACUGCGGCGACAGAGGUGAAAUUCUUGGACCGCCGCAAGACGAACGACAGCGAAGGCAUUUGCCAAGAAUGUUUUCCUUGAUCAAGAACGAAAGUUAGAGGUUCGAAGGCGAUCAGAUACCGCCCUAGUUCUAACCAUAAACGAUGCCGACCAGCGAUCCGCCGGUGUUACUCCCAUGACUCGGCGGGCGGCUUCCGGGAAACCAAAGUCUUUGGGUUCCGGGGGAAGUAUGGUUGCAAAGCUGAAACUUAAAGGAAUUGACGGAAGGGCACCACCAGGAGUGGAGCCUGCGGCUUAAUUUGACCCAACACGGGAAACCUCACCAGGCCCGGACACUGGAAUGAUUGACAGAUUGAGAGCUCUUUCUCGAUUCGGUGGGUGGUGGUGCAUGGCCGUUCUUAGUUGGUGGAGCGAUUUGUCUGGUUAAUUCCGAUAACGAACGAGACUCUAUCCUGCUAAAUAGGUGGCGGGUUUCUAUGCCUCGAGACUGCGGCGGGCGCAAGCCCGUCGCAGUCGGAAGGAAACUUGGGUGCGGUGGCCGACGGGACCAGGGCCGUGUGUUUGUCGGUCUCGAGUGCGUGGGUCAAACUGCGUACUUGGGCUCGGUGAGCGUACGGCUCCCCCGGCGAUACCACCGUACUCGCGCCCGUCACGUCUCUUCUUAGAGGGACAAGCGGCGUCCAGCCGCGUGACAGUGAGCAAUAACAGGUCUGUGAUGCCCUUAGAUGUCCUGGGCCGCACGCGCGCUACACUGAGGGAAUCAGCGUGUUUCAAUCUCCCUGUCCGAAAGGACCGGGUAACCGCUGAACCUCCUUCGUGGUUGGGAUUGGGGACUGCAAAGAUCCCCAUGAACCAGGAAUCCCUAGUAGGCGCGGGUCACUAGCCCGCGUCGAUUACGUCCCUGCCCUUUGUACACACCGCCCGUCGCUACUACCGAUUGAAUGAUUUAGUGAGGCCUUCGGACGGGCCCGUCGGGGGAGUGUUCCCGUCGUCUUCGCGGAUGGCGGGCGCGCGCCCUACCAACGGCGG